RNAcentral lists this transfer RNA (19 nucleotides) under Iresine diffusa. The record is from RNAcentral. Lineage: Eukaryota; Viridiplantae; Streptophyta; Magnoliopsida; Caryophyllales; Amaranthaceae.
CUCGUGUCACCAGUUCAAA